GAACGGGUGAGUAACACGUGGGUGAUCUGCCCUGCACUUCGGGAUAAGCCUGGGAAACUGGGUCUAAUACCGGAUAUGACCUCCUAUCGCAUGGUGGGUGGUGGAAAGAUUUAUCGGUGCAGGAUGGGCCCGCGGCCUAUCAGCUUGUUGGUGGGGUAAUGGCCUACCAAGGCGACGACGGGUAGCCGACCUGAGAGGGUGACCGGCCACACUGGGACUGAGACACGGCCCAGACUCCUACGGGAGGCAGCAGUGGGGAAUAUUGCACAAUGGGCGAAAGCCUGAUGCAGCGACGCCGCGUGAGGGACGACGGCCUUCGGGUUGUAAACCUCUUUCAGCAGGGACGAAGCGCAAGUGACGGUACCUGCAGAAGAGCACCGGCUAACUACGUGCCAGCAGCCGCGGUAAUACGUAGGGUGCAAGCGUUGUCCGGAAUUACUGGGCGUAAAGAGUUCGUACGCGGUUUGUCACGUCGUUUGUGAAAACUCACAGCUCACUGU
Molecule: ribosomal RNA, 500 nt
Filed under: Rhodococcus sp. LCF30
Lineage: Bacteria; Bacillati; Actinomycetota; Actinomycetes; Mycobacteriales; Nocardiaceae
Also listed under: 1 other name
Description: bacterial SSU rRNA
Rfam family: Bacterial small subunit ribosomal RNA
Source: RNAcentral